GAUGAACGCUAGCGGCAGGCCUAAUACAUGCAAGACGAACGGUAAGUUGAGUAGCAAUACUUAGCCAAGAGUGUCGUACGGGUGCGUAACACGUAUGCAACCUACCCUAUACAGGAGGAUAGCCUAGGGAAACCUGGAUUAACCCUUCAUAGUAUUAUUGGAUGGCAUCAUUUGAUAAUUAAAACUGAGGUGGUAUAGGAUGGGCAUGCGUCUGAUUAGUUAGUUGGCGGGGUAAUGGCCCACCAAGACGAUGAUCAGUAGGGGGUUCUGAGAGGAAGAUCCCCCACACUGGCACUGAGAUACGGGCCAGACUCCUACGGGAGGCAGUAGUAGGGAAUAUGGUCAAUGGAUGCAAGUCUGAACCAGCCAUGCCGCGUGCAGGAAGAAGGCCUUCUGGGUUGUAAACUGCUUUUAUUCGGGAAUAAACCUGCUUACGUGUAAGUAGCUGAAUGUACCGAAGGAUAAGGAUCGGCUAACUCCGUGCCAGCAG
RNAcentral lists this ribosomal RNA (490 nucleotides) under uncultured bacterium. RNAcentral's name for it is "bacterial SSU rRNA". It matches the Rfam family "Bacterial small subunit ribosomal RNA", at positions 28 to 514 of the family's 1533-position model. The record is from RNAcentral.